CCUACGGGAGGCAGCAGUAAGGAAUAUUGGUCAAUGGGCGCAAGCCUGAACCAGCCAUGCCGCGUGCAGGAUGACGGCCCUCUGGGUUGUAAACUGCUUUUAUACGGGAAGAACAGCAUCUACGUGUAGGUGUUUGACGGUACUGUAAGAAUAAGGACCGGCUAACUUCGUGCCAGCAGCCGCGGUAAUACGAAGGGUCCAAGCGUUAUCCGGAUUUAUUGGGUUUAAAGGGUGCGUAGGCGGCUUUUUAAGUCAGUGGUGAAAGCCUGAUGCUCAACAUCAGAACUGCCAUUGAUACUGAAGAGCUUGAGUACAGUUGAGGUUGGCGGAAUGUGUCAUGUAGCGGUGAAAUGCUUAGAUAUGACACAGAACACCGAUUGCGAAGGCAGCUAGCUAAGCUGUUACUGACGCUGAUGCACGAAAGCGUGGGGAGCAAACAGGAUUAGAUACCCUGGUAGUCCACGCCCUAAACGUUGAUAACUCGUUGUUAGCGAUAUACUGUUAGCGACCAAGCGAAAGCAUUAAGUUAUCCACCUCGGAGUACGGUACGCGAGAGUAGUAACGUUAAAGUAAAGUUAGUAGACGUGAGACGUACGACGACGGACGACGACGAGGGGAGGAGGAG
This 625-nucleotide ribosomal RNA is filed under the name uncultured bacterium. RNAcentral describes it as "bacterial SSU rRNA". The stretch from base 1 to 535 matches the Rfam family "Bacterial small subunit ribosomal RNA", at positions 338 to 873 of the family's 1533-position model. The record is from RNAcentral.